AGUGAACGCUGGCGGUAGGCCUAACACAUGCAAGUCGAACGGCAGCACAGUAAGAGCUUGCUCUUACGGGUGGCGAGUGGCGGACGGGUGAGGAAUACAUCGGAAUCUACUUUUUCGUGGGGGGUAACGUAGGGAAACUUACGCUAAUACCGCAUACGACCUACGGGUGAAAGCAGGGGAUCUUCGGACCUUGCGCGAUUGAAUGAGCCGAUGUCGGAUUAGCUAGUUGGCGGGGUAAAGGCCCACCAAGGCGACGAUCCGUAGCUGGUCUGAGAGGAUGAUCAGCCACACUGGAACUGAGACACGGUCCAGACUCCUACGGGAGGCAGCAGUGGGGAAUAUUGGACAAUGGGCGCAAGCCUGAUCCAGCCAUACCGCGUGGGUGAAGAAGGCCUUCGGGUUGUAAAGCUCUUUUGUUGGGAAAGAAAAGCAGCAGGUUAAUACCCCGCUGUUCUGACGGUACCCAAAGAAUAAGCACCGGCUAACUUCGUG
This 492-nucleotide ribosomal RNA is filed under the name uncultured bacterium. RNAcentral's name for it is "partial 16S ribosomal RNA". It matches the Rfam family "Bacterial small subunit ribosomal RNA", at positions 29 to 507 of the family's 1533-position model. The record is from RNAcentral.